GACGGGGGAUGCAAGUGUUAUCCGGAAUCACUGGGCGUAAAGCGUCUGCAGGUGGUUUCCUAAGUCCACUGUUAAACCUUGAGGCUCAACCUCAAAUCUGCAUUGGAAACUAGGAGACUUGAGUAUAGUAGGGGUAGAGGGAAUUUCCAGUGGAGCGGUGAAAUUCGUAGAUAUUCGCAAGAACACCAGUGGCGAAGGCGGCCGACUGGUCCGGUUCUGACGCUGAGGCGCGAAAGCGUGGGGAGCAAACAGG
This 253-nucleotide ribosomal RNA is filed under the name uncultured bacterium. Its description in RNAcentral is "partial 16S ribosomal RNA". It matches the Rfam family "Bacterial small subunit ribosomal RNA", at positions 524 to 776 of the family's 1533-position model. The record is from RNAcentral.